UACGUAGGUGGCAAGCGUUGUCCGGAGUUACUGGGUGUAAAGGGCGUGUAGGCGGGAAAAUAAGUCAGAUGUGAAAUUCCAUGGCUCAACUGUGGCGCUGCAUCUGAAACUAUUUUUCUUGAGUGAUGGAGAGGAAAGCGGAAUUCCUAGUGUAGCGGUGAAAUGCGUAGAUAUUAGGAGGAACACCAGUGGCGAAGGCGGCUUUCUGGACAUUAACUGACGCUGAGGCGCGAAAGCGUGGGGAGCAAACAGG
RNAcentral lists this ribosomal RNA (253 nucleotides) under uncultured bacterium. RNAcentral's name for it is "partial 16S ribosomal RNA". It matches the Rfam family "Bacterial small subunit ribosomal RNA", at positions 524 to 776 of the family's 1533-position model. The record is from RNAcentral.